This 492-nucleotide ribosomal RNA is filed under the name uncultured bacterium. RNAcentral's name for it is "partial 16S ribosomal RNA". It matches the Rfam family "Bacterial small subunit ribosomal RNA", at positions 29 to 507 of the family's 1533-position model. The record is from RNAcentral.
AGUGAACGCUGGCGGUAGGCCUAACACAUGCAAGUCGAACGGCAGCACAGUAAGAGCUUGCUCUUACGGGUGGCGAGUGGCGGACGGGUGAGGAAUACGUCGGAAUCUACUUUUUCGUGGGGGAUAACGUAGGGAAACUUACGCUAAUACCGCAUACGACCUACGGGUGAAAGCAGGGGAUCUUCGGACCUUGCGCGAUUGAAUGAGCCGAUGUCGGAUUAGCUGGUUGGCGGGGUAAAGGCCCACCAAGGCGACGAUCCGUAGCUGGUCUGAGAGGAUGAUCAGCCACACUGGAACUGAGACACGGUCCAGACUCCUACGGGAGGCAGCAGUGGGGAAUAUUGGACAAUGGGCGCAAGCCUGAUCCAACCAUACCGCGUGGGUGAAGAAGGCCUUCGGGUUGUAAAGCCCUUUUGUUGGGAAAGAAAAGCAGCAGGUUAAUACCCCGCUGUUCUGACGGUACCCAAAGAAUAAGCACCGGCUAACUUCGUG